UGUGUUACCUGCCUUACACAAGGGUAUUAGCCUUGGGAAAACGAAGAAUGAGUACCCUAGUACGUCAAUUUAUCGCAUGAUAGAAUGACCAAGAUUUAUCGGUGUAAGAUGGACUUGCGUCUGAUUAGCUAUUGGUGAGAUAAANGCCCACCAAGGCAACGAUCAGUAGCCGGCUUGAGAGAGUGUACGGCCACAUUGGGACUGAGACACGGCCCAAACUCCUACGGGAGGCAGCAGUGGGGAAUUUUGCACAAUGGGGGAAACCCUGAUGCAGCGACCCGCGUGAUUUAGAAGGCCUUCGGGUUGUAAAAAUCUUUUUUAUGGGAUGAAAAUGACAGUACCAUAAGAAUAAGGUCCGGCUAAAUACGUGCCAGCAGCCGCGGUAAUACGUAUGGACCGAGCGUUGUCCGGAAUCAUUGGGCGUAAAGGGUACGUAGGCGGCCUAGUAAGUUAGAAGUGAAAUAAUAUAGCUCAACUAUAUAAAGCUUUUAAAACUGUUAGGCUUGAGAGAUGAAAGGGAAAGUGGAAUUCCUAGUGUAGCGGUGAAAUGCGCAGAUAUUAGGAAGAAUACCAGUGGCGAAGGCGACUUUCUGGUCAUCCUCUGACGCUGAGGUACGAAAGCGUGGGUAGCAAACAGGAUUAGAUACCCUGGUAGUCCACGCCGUAAACGAUGAGUGCUAAGUGUUAGGGGGUUUCCGCCCCUUAGUGCUGCAGCUAACGCAGUAAGCACUCCGCCUGGGGAGUACGACCGCAAGUUG
RNAcentral lists this ribosomal RNA (758 nucleotides) under uncultured Clostridia bacterium. RNAcentral's name for it is "bacterial SSU rRNA". It matches the Rfam family "Bacterial small subunit ribosomal RNA", at positions 118 to 896 of the family's 1533-position model. Lineage: Bacteria; Bacillati; Bacillota; Clostridia. The record is from RNAcentral.